CCAGACUCCUACGGGAGGCAGCAGUGGGGAAUAUUGCACAAUGGGGGAAACCCUGAUGCAGCGACGCCGCGUGAGUGAAGAAGUAUUUCGGUAUGUAAAGCUCUAUCAGCAGGGAAGAAAUAGCGACCUUUGGGUCGCCAGACGGUACCUGAUUAAGAAGCCCCGGCUAACUACGUGCCAGCAGCCGCGGUAAUACGUAGGGGGCGAGCGUUAUCCGGAAUUACUGGGUGUAAAGGGAGCGUAGACGGCGACGCAAGUCUGGAGUGAAAGCCCGGGGCCCAACCCCGGGACUGCUCUGGAAACUGCGUCGCUGGAGUACGGGAGGGGCAGGCGGAAUUCCUGGUGUAGCGGUGAAAUGCGUAGAUAUCAGGAGGAACACCGGCGGCGAAGGCGGCCUGCUGGACCGUGACUGACGUUGAGGCUCGAGAGCGUGGGGAGCAAACAGGAUUAGAUACCCUUGUA
RNAcentral lists this ribosomal RNA (462 nucleotides) under uncultured bacterium. RNAcentral describes it as "partial 16S ribosomal RNA". It matches the Rfam family "Bacterial small subunit ribosomal RNA", at positions 331 to 792 of the family's 1533-position model. The record is from RNAcentral.